UAUAAAAACAUUAUAGAAAGAAGAAAUUACAAACAAAAUUGGCGAGUGCAAAAUAAACAAUAAGUUAAGCCAAGUUUGAGUUAAUAUUAUUGUAGGGGCCAUGUGAAAUGAUAUUUUGGUACAUUAUAAAGUUGAGCAAGUGAAAUGUUGUAGGAGGAGAUAAUAUUAUGAGCUCUCCUGAGUCCUGAGAGAAGAGUGGUGGUGGUCGUCGUUUUAAGUGAGACGCGUCCAGAAGCCAGGCGAUGAGCGUGCAUGUGCGUGUGCGUGGUAGUGAUCACACACACACUCUCUCUCUCAAGUGGCGGCCGGGAAAGUUUUGUUUUGUUGAGGGGAAUGUUGUCUGGCUCGAGGACCCUUCCUUUCCCUUCCCUUCCCUUCUCUAAAUGAAAUAAGAGUCGUCGGACCAGGCUUCAUUCCCCC
Arachis ipaensis is the source of this 420-nucleotide non-coding RNA. NCBI's taxonomy places the organism in Eukaryota, Viridiplantae, Streptophyta, Magnoliopsida, Fabales, Fabaceae. The record is from RefSeq and is a predicted model, not a curated record.